RNAcentral lists this small RNA (1914 nucleotides) under Rattus norvegicus (Norway rat). Its description in RNAcentral is "uncharacterized LOC102551333". The record is from RNAcentral. Lineage: Eukaryota; Metazoa; Chordata; Mammalia; Rodentia; Muridae.
UACCCAUACCACCUGCAUGGAGCUCCUUCCUGUUAGCUUUCUUACCUGUGUCCUCUAGCACCUCCCUGAGACCCCGAGCACAAUCGGGGUCAAGCUCCACAUUCUGUCUAAGGUUCCAUGACCUGCCCCACCCCUCCUUCUGUGGGGAGAUGUCAACAGUCCAAGGGCCCCACUGUGAUACUCUUACGAAGGGUGGCAGCUGCUCAGAGGAAUAGGCAUCCCACGGACCCUCCUCACCAGCACUCGGCUUCCGGCACUGCGCUAUUCUCUGGAAAGAUAACUACCCAUAGUCCUCUGGUGCGUCCUGAACACUCAGUUGGAGGAAGAUUCUGCCUGAGGAGGCAGUGCGAAGAGCCUGGGGUCUGAUGCCCCAGUGGGCGCGCCACGAAGCUUCACCCCAUCACAAGCUCAGAACAUCUUGAGCAAGUUGCCUCAGUUUCCCAUCUGGAGGGUGGGUCAGCAGCCUGAAGCUUAAGUCGCAAUGACCGUCAGCCAGUGAAGGUUUGCCAGGAGCCUCCUGACUGCUUCCCACACGGGCUUGAAAUGGAUGCUAAGGACGACAGACACCAUGCUCAGCCCCAAAUGGGACAUCUGCAUCACCCAGGAGUCACUGAACAAGAGAAGAUGAGAGGCCCAAGCGUCGAGGAACUCAGGCCAAUCCCCAGUGUAGAAAGCUGCACAGUCACGUUCAAAUGCCACUCCACCUGACUGGGAACCUGUUUCCUUCCCACCAUACCUGUCAAACAAGUGGACUCACUCGGAGCUCCAGUGCUGAGAGCAGGUGGGGCCCCCUCAAGGGAGCUUCUGCUGGCUCUGGCCACAGCCCACUGGAUGGACAGAUGGGUGAAUGGGCAGACAGAUGGACAUACGGACGGACAGAGGCCAGCUGCUUCACUCUGCUCUAAUCACCAGGCCCCUCGGCGGACUCGGUAAAUGCCCCGCUGCUGCUGAGCCGAAGGCUUUCAGGGCCUGCCUGUCACCGUGUUUUACAGCCCUCUUGUUGAAGAGCGGAAUCUGUAUUGAUUUCAGAACAACUCAAGCUGUAAAUUACUGGCCGCGAUCGGCUUGGUAACCCUGAGAUGAGAAUCUAUUGACUGGACCGGGGGCUUAAAUCUAAUUAUCGUCCCAGGAAAACCAUUGGCAGAGCUGCUCAAUGCCUGUGCGGAAGAGAACAGUUAAACAGCCCAGGGCUACGUGGGGGGUGGGGGUGGGGCAGAGAUCUAGAACGAUCCGGGGUCUCUGCGGAGCCUAAGAAACUGCCUUGGCCACCAAUCGAUUGACCUUGAGUCACUUCUGUAAUUACCAACGGCGAUGUUACUACGAUAGCGUGGUGCCCCAUGGCUCUGGGGCCUGGGCACCUCAUGCAGCCUGUUGUUCAGCUUCCUCAAACCAGUUUCUUCAUCUCUACAUAGAGGGAGCCUUGGUGCAUUUCUACCUGUACCUCAGGAAGGAGAGAAAACCGCCAGCCAUGGGAGCGGCUUCGCCCAAGGGCACACAGCUACCUCGGAAUGCAGACCUUAAACCGGUCCCUCACUGCUGGGUGGCUCAAUGGUUAGGGGUGCCUGCCUGCGUGCGGUUACCGGCACCCUGUGCGGUGGCUCACAGUCACCUGGACGUGAGGCGGCGUGCUGGCCUUGACAAGAACGUCAUCCAUGGGCUUCUAUAUCUGAACGCUGGGUAGCUCAGACUGGAGCUGUUUGAAAGGGUUAGAAGGGUUCGGGGGUGUUGCUGGUUGGAGGGAGUCUGUCACUGGGGUUAGGCUUUGAGGUUUUGAAGGGUGAAUGCCAAUCACAGGGUGUCUCUCUCUGACUACAGGUCAGGACGUAGCUCCCAGCCACUGCUCCGUUGCACCAUGGGCCCUGACAUGAUAGUAGCAGACUAAGCGUCCGAAACUGUAACACACACAUGUACACA